Long non-coding RNA from Felis catus (domestic cat), 3669 nucleotides. RefSeq lists it as uncharacterized. Lineage: Eukaryota; Metazoa; Chordata; Mammalia; Carnivora; Felidae. The transcript is spliced from 3 exons. The record is from RefSeq and is a predicted model, not a curated record.
GAGGCCUCUCCUAGGAGUGAUUUGAGGAGAGCUCAGAGAGGCAGCAUUUUAACCCAAGAGGUUGGAGGGAGGGAUCGGAAGCGAGGCUUCCAGAGAACCUGUUUUUGGUGGCUGGAAAAGCCGCAUGUCCACUGGACAGAAUGAAAGCAUGUGAGGCUUUCAAUUACAAAUCAUCCUGGCAUUGGUUCAAAGUGCCCCAACAGCCCCUGGAGCCCUGCGGCUGGGCAGAGCGGCCCACGUGGCUUUUUCGAUCUCCAGGGUGUGACAACGUCGCUGUGGCCUUGGCAGGGAUGGAGGAGGGGCGCUGGGAACACGCUGGAAGACAGGCAUCGUACUGAAAUCAAAUUUACCAGCACACGUAUUCUUGGGUCUUUGCGCAGAUCCAUGGUUCUCAAGUUGCAAAGACAGUGAAUGGAACCCUUCCCUCGACCUCAGCACCCAAAGCCCCGACGGAUCUUUAGAAAAAUGUCUACAUUUCAAACAAAAAGUGAUAACUCGGGCUGCCAAGAUCAUGUUGCUGUGGUGUUGAUUCUUUGCUGAGGAAUGUGCCCAUGAGGUAUCUGUUUACAACACUAAUUGCCAAUGAACAAGUGAGAAAUAGUGCUCUUGGCCAAAAUAUAUUCUGUUGCUAGAAAACAAUACAGCUAAAGUAUUUGUGAAAUUAUCAGAACACAGUCACUUAUUCAUAAUAUUGUACAAGAUGUCCUUGUCCCCAGAAAUGCUCCUAUCCUCAUCCAAGACUGUCUUUAGAAGCAAACGUUUCCCAACAAAAUCGAGUUUUGUUCUCAAUUUGUCUUAACAAGGAAUGACAUAAGUUUACCAGACAAAGGAGUUCCAUUUUUUGUUCCCUGUGUUUAAUCUGUGCAGACAGAAGGCUGUAAAUAUCAUAAGUGGUUGUUGCCGGCUGGCCGUGGAGUGGCCCAGUUCGUUAAGGACCAUGGUUCGCUGGUUUCUUGUAUGGCCUCCAAGGGCCAAGAGAGUGCUUCCCCAUCAUCACUAUGAGGCCUGGUGAACAAAAGCUGGGGCCCAGGAGCCUGUGUGGAUGGAUGGUGUGACCUCUGACCUCCACUAGCGGGGCCUGGAGGGAAAGAGGCAAAGUCAGGCUCCAGUAACGUUUAAUGACAGAUCUUGUUAGGGUUAAAAAAACAGCUCCGGCAUCCAGCUGGGACUUCAUCGGGGGAGGUGCUCAGAGGGCCUUCAGCCGCUGACAGGCACGGGGCCCCAUGCACGGUUGCAACAGGUGCUGGCUAAGCAGUCUUUUUGAUCCUGCCCUUGUCAAGGACCCCCACCUCGUCAGUCUGACUCCACAGGAAGAUUCGUUCUUUUUUUCCCCCUAUUGUCUCCAGCACCUCUGGGUGCUACCGUGAGGUUCUGACAGUGGCGAGGCUCUGAUCCUGGUUUUUCUUUUAUAAAAAUAAUAAUCAGGAUUUUUAUUAAGGAGACCCAAGAGAGUGUUCCAGUCCCUUCCGCCACUUGAAGUUACAGGGAGAGGGCAGCUGUCUAUAACCCAGGAAGUGAGCCCUCACUGGAACCCGGCCACGUGGGCACUUCAGUCUCCAGAACUGUGAGAAAUUCAUGUCUGCUGUGUAUAAGCCACCCUGCGUCUGGUAUUUUUGUUUCAGCAGCCUGGGCUAAGAGGACACGUUAGGUAAAUAUAAGGAGUUGGUAGCGAGGUGUGACUGGUGUUUACCUUGUAAGUCAGAUGGAAUCAGAUGAAGGUCUUGGCUGUAACUCUCCAGUGAAAGAUUCAAGCAAACUUCAGAUUGAGAGUACACCACAAAUGGGAGACCUUCAUUUGCUUCACUUCUGAAUAAUUUCUACCUGGUGUCAUUUCUACCUGGUUGGCACAUCUGAACAGACACCAAUGAUCCAUUUCAUUCACACACACACACACAAACCAAAACCAACCAACCAAACAAAAAACAAUGAGGACGUGGCGUGCCCUUGGUUCCUCUGCAUUUAGCACCACGGUGCUCACUAAUCUUUCCAGCGAUUUGGCAUUUUACUGAGGUAUGGAGUUGAGCAGCCCAGGACCUGGCAUCUGUUGCUUCCUGAAGCAGCACCAGGGCUCCCAAUUUGUUCGUGGGUGCAGUGACUCGGGUCACAAGGAUCGUGCUGUGGAAAUGGACGUAAAGGCAGGGGUGAACUCUGGCACAAGUUGAGUGGGGAGGACCGAGGAUGCGUGGGGAUGGGUGAUUCUGUGGGAAAGGUGAUGCGGGACAAAGCCUGCAUGAGCAUGUCCGUUUCCUGGUAUUUGGGGAUUUCUGAAGGUUUGGAUUUGUUAUUCUGAAAUACCAAGGGUCUCCUAUAAAAAAGAGUGUGACACGUAAAAAAACACUUUUUAUGUUGAGACCAUUAGAGAUUCACAUGCACUUGUAAGAAAUAAUACCGAGAGAUCCUGUGUGCUGCUUACUUAGUUUCUCGCAAAGGAAACAUCUCGAGCACUUACAAGACAAUCCUACAACCAGGAUACAGACAGCAAUACAGUCAAGAUACAGAACAUUCCAUCAGUACAAAGGUCUCUCCUGAUGCCCUUUUAGGGCCAUGCCCACCUCUUCCUCACCCUCAUCCCCUCUUUAAAUCCUUGGUAACCACUCAUUUGUUUUCCAGUUCUGUCAUUUUGUCAUUUUGGAAUGGCAUAUAGGUGGAAUCAUACAGUAUGUGGCCUUUUGGGACUGACUCCUCCCUUUUAGCAUAAUUCAGAGAUUCAUCCAGGCUGUUGUAUGUACCAAUGGUUUGUUUCUUUUUAUUGCUGAGUAAUAUUCCACGGUAUGGGUUUACCACAGUUUGUUCUUCUUUUUUCUUUUUUCUUUUCUUUUCUUUCCUUUCCUUUUCUUUUCUUCUUUUUUUUUUUUUUAACCAGUUAUCCGUUGAAAGACAUCUGAGUUUUUUCCAGUUUUGGAGCUAUUAUGAAUGAAGCUGUUAUAAACAGUUAUAUGCAGGUUUUUGUAUAAUGUAAGUCUUUGAUUCUCUGGGAUAAAUGCCCAAGAAUACAAUUGCUAAGUUUUGGGAUAGUUUAGUUUUAAAAGAAAACUAAGUGCUUAGUUUUGUAAGAAAAUUAAAUGCUUAGUUUCCUCAUAAACUGGCAAAUUGUCUUCAAACUGGCUGUACCAUUUUACACUCCCACCAGUAAUGGAUGAGUGACUCAGUUUCUCCACAUGUAUGUCAGCAUUUGGCAUCAUUGCUGUUUUUUUUUUAUUUAGCUUUUCUGAUAGGUAUUUAGUGACAUCUCAUAUGUGGUUUACUUUCAACUUGCCAAUGUAAUGUUUGAAAUGAGUUUCUUGUUUACAGAACAUAGUUGGAUCAUGCUUGGAAAUCUCCUCUGCUAGCCUCUGUCUUUUCAUUGGUAUAGUUAGACCUUGUACAUUUCACGUAAUUAUUGAUAUAUUAGGGCUGAAGUCUGCCAUUUUAUUUUCUGUUUUCUGUUUGUUCUGUUUUUCAUUUUUCUGCCCUCCUAUGGGUUAUUCAAACAUUUUAAAGAAUUCUGUAGUGAUUUAUCUAUAGUGUUUGAAAGUGUAUCUCUUGUAUAGCUUUUCAGUGGCUGCUCUGGGCAUUACAUAUGGCUGCUUUUAAAUCUUUGUCCAAUAAUUUUAAUAGUUUUCUCAUCAUGGUGGCAUCCUUGAUGGUUUUAUUUCAUCUAGUCAGAGACAUUCCUGGUACUUGGUAGUA